This 72-nucleotide transfer RNA is filed under the name Capra hircus (goat). It matches the Rfam family "tRNA". From Rfam's summary of the family: Transfer RNA (tRNA) molecules are approximately 80 nucleotides in length. Lineage: Eukaryota; Metazoa; Chordata; Mammalia; Artiodactyla; Bovidae. The record is from Rfam by way of RNAcentral. RNAcentral also lists the same sequence under 1 other name.
UCCCUUGUGGCUCAGCUGGUAAAGAAUCCACCUGCAAUGUGGGAGACCUGGGUUCGAUCCCUGGGAUGGGAA